AACGCGAAGAACCUUACCCAGGUUUGACAUGCAGUGGACAGGUACAGAGAUGUACCCUCUCUUCGGAGCCGCUGCACAGGUGCUGCAUGGCUGUCGUCAGCUCGUGCCGUGAGGUGUUGGGUUAAGUCCCGCAACGAGCGCAACCCUUAUCAUUAGUUGCCAGCACGUAAAGGUGGGAACUCUAGUGAGACUGCCCGGGUUAACCGGGAGGAAGGUGAGGAUGACGUCAAGUCCGCAUGGCCCUUAUAUCUGGGGCUACACACGUUCUACAAUGGUCGGUACAGAAGGCAGCGAAACCGCAAGGUGGAGCAAAUCCCCAAAGCCGAUCCCAGUUCAGAUUGUAGUCUGCAACUCGACUACAUGAAGUUGGAAUUGCUAGUAAUGGCGAGUCAGCUACAUCGCCGUGAAUACGUUCCCGGGCCUUGUA
This 427-nucleotide ribosomal RNA is filed under the name uncultured Chlamydiae bacterium. RNAcentral's name for it is "bacterial SSU rRNA". It matches the Rfam family "Bacterial small subunit ribosomal RNA", at positions 958 to 1385 of the family's 1533-position model. The record is from RNAcentral. Lineage: Bacteria; Pseudomonadati; Chlamydiota; Chlamydiia.